UGCAUCUCACAACUCUUUUGGCAGUGGAGGAAACGGGUGUUUUCAUCGCACAGCUCAUCUCACUGACUACUUUCCUUCUUUCCUAAGUAUCUUUGUGUGGUCUGUUUUUCCUUACAUAAGCUACUAUACAUGUUGUUCUUAGUCUUUCUUUGUGUCUUCCUUACUUAGCCUAGCCUACAGUAUAUCAUGCCUGCCAAGAGCUGGCACAGCAUCUAUAGAGAACAAUCAAAUUGCCAUGCUGAUGCUGUCAAAAGAACUGAUUUACACCUUUACUUGUCCUGGUGCUCUCAUUAUAACCUUAGUCAAAUGGAAAUAGUUUGUAUAAUUUCUGUUCACACUGCAAUCUUAAUGCUGGGUUUUGUUCUCAUCACAUUUUUUAUCAGGCUGAUGGAAUUCUGAGCCCUUUCUGUUCUCAUUAAAAUUUACUAGAUGAAGGGAUUAAUUGUGUGCUAGUGUGCCUGGUCUUUUAUGAUCUUUGCAGGAAGAAUCGGACGACUUCUCUCUGAACAAGGAGGGGCGGCCGGUGAACCUAGUGAAAUCAGGCCUUUAAGUCCUCAUGAAAUCGUCGUCGGACGAACUUUCAAUCUUUGUGAAAUCUACGCUGAGAGGCGUCCCAGCUCGGGGGGAGGUACUGGCUCAUGCAGCCUGCUGCCGUCCCAGAGAGCUCAAAGGGUCUCACUUUUGGAUCGCUAUUUAUAGGACCUUGAGAUGAUUCACUUUGGAACUCAACUAAAAGUUUUGUUAAAGGAGAAUAUAAAAAGUGCACUCAUUGAAAUGAAGAUUUGAGAAAACCAGCAAGAAUCUCAGCCUCUUAUUUUGUAAAUAUACACAAAAUCUUGGCACUCGUCCAUUUUUUCUUAACUGCAGCUUAAACCAUAACUAUCGUAAUAGGCUUCAAGAAAUGCCUGCAUUGACAUUUCCGUCUCCCAGGGAGGGGGCAAUGGAUGGAAAUCAUCUUAUGCUACAUCUGAGUAAGUCACUCAAGAUUCCUUUGCCAGUCAGUGGAGAUUCAUCGCUCCCUAAAGCAGAGGUGCAUCAAUCCUGCAACCUGCUCCAAGUACCCAUGUACCACUGCACUUGGUCCCUUCCCAGCUGCCGUUUUCACAGGGAUGCAGGGAUAGAAGCAGCCCCAGCCCAAGAGGGCCGUGGCCUCCACCUGCUCACCUUCACAUCAGAGGAGCUAGAGAGAAGGUGCUCUCUGAGGGGCAGCAAGGGUUGGGUCAGAUGUCAGCACUGCAGAGGAGAACCAAAAAAUGAGGACUAAGGAGCUAAAAUUCUUCCUGCCCCACAGCAAGUCAGUCUGGACCAUACUCUCUUAAGAUACCCUGGCCUCAGCUUGUUCCUUCAUGAUCCCAUGAAAUAUAGAAGAUGAUGUAAAAUAAGAAUUUAACAGAGAAGCACUAGCCCAGCAUGAUCCUAGUCUCAGCAAUUUAGCAGACAAAAUGCAUACAUUGGGAAGGAGUGGUAUCAUUCUUUCUCUUAAUUAAUACUUUCUCCAGGCUGCAACUGAGUAACAAUUAAAUGCAAAAACCCUGCCUUUGUGUAACACCAGGGUUAAUAUUUUAUGCACAGUAGGAGUGAAGAAGGAAGAGAAUGAUAUUAUUUGUCUGCCAAGUCAGAAAAAAUUGGACUAUGCAUAAUUUUUUAUAUGUAAACAAAAACCCCACGUUACUCACUACAAGGUAAAAAUAGGACUCACAUCAUUAGAAUACUAGAAAUAAAGUAAUUUGUCUCAUAGAUCAUGUCGCUGUAAUUACAGUAUUUUUGAAAGGUACACAAUAUAGUCUUGUUCUGUGUCUUAGGGAACUGUGUUGUUUUACUUACUGUCACUAGUGAGCACAUGUUCCAUGUUAUGCUCCUGUAGCUUCAAAUGAAAAGGACACCUAAUACCACACAGAGCGAUUUAACAGGGUUCUAUGUAAGAAGCAGUCUGAUUAGAAGAAUUUAUUGUGAAUAAGAUGAAUCACUGCCAAUAUUAGAAAGUCUGAAAGUGUCUCUGUUAUUGAUUCAAUUACUCUGUCACCUUAAAAAAAUCCCCUUCUGAAGGGAAACUUUCUGAAAUCUCAGAUGCUAGUAUCUCCUGGCUCCUACUGCCUUCCCAUGUGCACUUUCCUGACCUCUGCUAAAGCCUGCCUUCUGUCCUGUAUCCAUCAAUUACAGUGACAGCUGUC
Molecule: long non-coding RNA, 2171 nt
Organism: Grus americana (Whooping crane)
Lineage: Eukaryota; Metazoa; Chordata; Aves; Gruiformes; Gruidae
Exons: 4
Source: RefSeq, a predicted model, not a curated record